GUCCGAGCGGGGAGCGGCCCGCGGAGCGCGGAGAGGCGGAAGCGCCUGCGAUGGCGUGCCGUUUUCUUCGCCGUCACGGUCCGUUAUUUCGAUGUCGAAAACGCUAUAAAUAAUGAAACCCGACCCGCAGUCCCGCACUGGCCGCGUCGGAGAGGAACGAGGGAGAAGAGGCCGGAGGGAGAUUCCGGAGGAGAUGCCUUCAAGGUUUCUCUCGGCGGCCGCCAACGCUCCCGCCCCCUCCCCCGCCAGCGACGUGUUGAUCAAGGAGGUAAUUAUUUGAGGGGCAACAUGAUCUUGAUCAAUUGUUUGAGUGGCAUUAGCUGAUCCUUUGAAGGGACGAUCAUGCUGCUGUGGGCAUUGUGCAGAGACAUCGAUUGACCAAGGGAUUGCCUAUGUGCUGAUGCUAGUGGCACUGGUGCUGACCUACCUGAAUCCACCCCUGGUUGCCUCCUCCCCCUACAAACUCUUCUAAGUUCAUAUCCCUUGUGAGAGGGGGGAGGGUUGCACUUUUUGUGUUUAGGUGAUGUGUGGGUUCAUGUAUGGAAUUUAGAGUGGUGUUGGACAACAUCUCCCAACCAAGUUAGGCACGACUUGAAAUAGUUAGAAACAAGCCUGCUGAAUUUAGUUAUUUCAUACUUUGGCCAUAGAA
Zingiber officinale is the source of this 649-nucleotide long non-coding RNA. RefSeq lists it as uncharacterized. The transcript is spliced from 2 exons. NCBI's taxonomy places the organism in Eukaryota, Viridiplantae, Streptophyta, Magnoliopsida, Zingiberales, Zingiberaceae. The record is from RefSeq and is a predicted model, not a curated record.